GCCACCGCGGACUCGCCAGUAGCGCCGGUACUGAGGGCAGCUGUGUGUGUGGUGUGUUUUGCGAAUCAGAUUGCUUUUGGGUUGCUUCCGAACUACUGAUACCAUACACAAGGACACAGAGGAAAGAGGGAGAGAGCAAGCUGGCAACUUCCACCUGGAGGGGCACUAGGCCUGCGCGCACUCUUUCGGGAGGAGUGAAGAAACAGGAGAGAAUAACAAAAUCUCACAUGGACCAAUGAGCGCUCAGCUUCUGAUAGCCUCGUAAAGGCGGCUGGCGCAGUGCAUUGUGGGGUGGGAGGGGAUCUAUUCGUCGCCUUUGUAAACUCGCUGGCCGGUCACGCACACACUGAAAUUCAUCAGAUGCCAGCAGAAGAGCCAUCAUGAAGACUGUACACCUGUGCUUCUAAAUACGUGCGUUUACAGUUCCACGGAAUGGGAGGGAAUACAUUAGUAAAACUUCAUGUGUCAUGUCAAGA
Long non-coding RNA from Rhipicephalus microplus (southern cattle tick), 476 nucleotides. The record is from RefSeq and is a predicted model, not a curated record. NCBI's taxonomy places the organism in Eukaryota, Metazoa, Arthropoda, Arachnida, Ixodida, Ixodidae.